CCAGUAGCCACUGUCUCCAUGACGACCUGCCAGCACAAGGAGCAGGCGUGAGUGAAGGCUCCCAUGGACAUACAGAGACGUGCCCAGGGACCUGAGUGCACAAGAGAGAGGGAGGCAAAGCGCCCAACAUGGCUCUAAUCGAAAAGCUGCAGCACUCAGAUGAAGGAAUUCCACCACAUCGUCUGCAACUUGAUGGACUGACUCCGCUGUGAUGGAAAAAAGACCACAGGAAGACCUGCUCUUUGCCAGUGGAGGUCUCGGUCCAGAGGAGCCGGUAGCCUUGGAUGGGGCCGUUGGCGUAUGCUGGAGGAUCCCAUGAGGCCUGGAUGGAGGUCGGGG
Pangasianodon hypophthalmus (striped catfish) is the source of this 339-nucleotide long non-coding RNA. RefSeq lists it as uncharacterized. The transcript has 3 exons. Lineage: Eukaryota; Metazoa; Chordata; Actinopteri; Siluriformes; Pangasiidae. The record is from RefSeq and is a predicted model, not a curated record.